UACGGAGGGUGCGAGCGUUGUCCGGAAUCACUGGGCGUAAAGGGCGCGUAGGCGGUCUGAUAAGUAGGGGGUGAAAUCCUGCGGCUUAACCGCAGGGCUGCCUUCUAAACUGCCAGACUCGAGCACAGUAGAGGCAGGUGGAAUUCCCGGUGUAGCGGUGGAAUGCGUAGAGAUCGGGAAGAACAUCGGUGGCGAAGGCGGCCUGCUGGGCUGUUGCUGACGCUGAGGCGCGACAGCUAGGGGAGCAAACAGG
RNAcentral lists this ribosomal RNA (253 nucleotides) under uncultured bacterium. RNAcentral describes it as "partial 16S ribosomal RNA". It matches the Rfam family "Bacterial small subunit ribosomal RNA", at positions 524 to 776 of the family's 1533-position model. The record is from RNAcentral.